This is a long non-coding RNA of Saccostrea cuccullata (small rock oyster), 652 nucleotides long. RefSeq lists it as uncharacterized. Lineage: Eukaryota; Metazoa; Mollusca; Bivalvia; Ostreida; Ostreidae. The record is from RefSeq and is a predicted model, not a curated record. The transcript has 3 exons.
UGGAUGAUUUAACCGAUUCUUACUUGUUUAAAAGUGUUCUAACAUGUUUUCUGUUAAAUAUGCUGUGUUUGUUUGGAUAAUUCCACAGGAACCGUCAACAGCGGACUUGAAUAGAUGAUGUGCGAGUUCAUUGAUGGAUUUGCCUGCACUCAUGCGUCAUCACGGUAUAAAGGAUUUUAAUCUAAAAAGAAACCCUGCAGAUUUGCAGCUGUGCAGAAUGCAGUUCAUGCCAUAUGCUGUUAGAGUAAAUGAUGAAAGAUGUUCAAACCAGUGUCAAAGAUUCCUAAGACUGAAAUCAUAGUGCUUUUAUUAAGGAGAUCAGUGUAUGUUUUCUGUGCAUUGUUGACAUUUGUGGAACUGUUCAGUUUAUGACCAUCUCUCUGACAAUAACUCUGACAUUUGAAUUUCAAUUUGAGCGUCGAAUAAGAAAGUCAAAUUAAAUGCAUGUAAAACAUUAUACUACGGUAAUAAAAACAUUGAUAAACUUAAAUUUAAACAAAGUUCAUGUACAUGUAUCUGUGAUAUUUGAAUUAAAAUUCAUAAAUGCUGUACAUGGAUACUUUUAAUGACUUUGUCUCAUGGUAAUGGAAUAUUCAAUUGUUAAACAUUGUUGAGGAAUCACCUUGAAUAAAAAUGUUGUGUACUUGAUAAA